RNAcentral lists this long non-coding RNA (1447 nucleotides) under Chlamydomonas reinhardtii. RNAcentral's name for it is "long non-coding RNA (CREI_LNC000091)". The record is from RNAcentral. Lineage: Eukaryota; Viridiplantae; Chlorophyta; Chlorophyceae; Chlamydomonadales; Chlamydomonadaceae.
UUCUCUAAGGUUACCAUCCCUGCAAGCUGACUAUGCCCGCGUAUAAACCCGAAUGCACUCAGCAGUUCAAACCCUAUGCGGAGCCGCCGACUCCGGUGGCCAUAUCCUCGGGGGUUGCUACAACCCACAACUCAGCGCCAUGUACAUUAAACGCCACAACAUAGCCGUCCAAACAAUCGCUCGCACCUUGUCCCGCGGCAAACACGGCGGCGGAUACAUGGUCAUGGACGCUACAUCACGAGACCACCUACCCGACUACGCCGACAGCACCCGCCUGCCAGAAUGUUAACUUGGGCGACCUCGGCGGGAGCAAACAACGUGGCGGGGGCAGGCCCCGCCUGCACGCCCGCCUCUCUCCCCGGUAGCGGGGGUGUACCAUCACCCCCCGCUCCCUUAACCUACACUACCACCUAGGUGGGGUGCAACUACUUCUAUUCUAUUUCUGUGAGCCCGUCAUAAAAACAUGCAUGGUCUGAGAUGGCUGCCCAAGUGCCCAGGCUGCAGACUUCCCUGCCCCUUGCUUACCGGCUAGGACUCACUGUGCGCGGAGUCACACGGACUUUGCCCGCGGGAGGGUUUGCAGCAAAGUCGGGGUUGGUGGAGUCAUGUUGGGCCCUGAUAGCAUGUGAUGGCUCGGCGUCUUCGGGUGCUGGGACUGUCCCCUCUGUAACAUCCGCAUUCUUACCGGGCCCUGCUACUUUCAGCUUCAGUCCACGCGGCGGCCUGCCUCUUCAUGCAUCCAUGCUCAUGCGCGCCAGGCUGAUCUAGCCUGUCAUUGGCGACUCGAAAGACAAAGGCACAGGAUGCACGUUGCAAAGGCCUGACGGGGGCGCUGCCGGGCCGUUACUGUGGAUGGGGUGUGUGCGUGUCUGUCGGGGCUGGUGGGGGUUGCACGCCGGCUCGCAGUUUCCGGAGGCCAUUGACCAGACUGCUUCACCUCCUCAAAAACUUUGGCUAUGAGCUUGGGGAUGUGGUCAUGCAUCAUAGCCAUAGCGGCGCGAAUCCCAACGGUGAUAGUGCGUAUGCCCGCACACCGUGCACACAUUCCGACCAUCCCAACUGCUACUCACCUCAUCGCUGUCUUCACCCAGCGUCACCAUACAAACAGACAUUCCGGCUGCCUGUUCUGCAGCUCCAUGGCAGCUGCGACCCCUCCGCCCAUGGGCCUCCCAUGGCCACGGCUGUCACAGGCCAAAUUGCACCCUUGCCGCUGGUCGCGGCCAGGUUGCCAAGAAAGUCCGAGGCCGUUAUGCUGCAGAGGCUUGAAAUACUGCCAAUGUAUGAUUGUGUCUUGUCUCGCGGCCCAUGCUCGCGGCGCUGGUCGCCGAGAAAAGGCAGUUGUGGCGCAAUGAAUAUAACCUUCUUUAUGUCUCGUAUAACCUAUGCAACUGUUGGCCGAAACAGACCAAAUUGACCACAUUGACAAUUGGCCCCGAAUUGGCCUCGC